This is a long non-coding RNA of Bos taurus (domestic cattle), 3044 nucleotides long. The record is from Ensembl. NCBI's taxonomy places the organism in Eukaryota, Metazoa, Chordata, Mammalia, Artiodactyla, Bovidae.
GGAGAAGGAAAUGGCAACCCACUCCAGUAUUCUUGCCUGAAGAAUCCCAUGGACAGAGGACUCUGGUGGGCUACAGUCCCUGGGGUUGCAAAGAGUUGGACACGACUGAGUGGCUAACAGUCUCUAGUAUAUGACUGGUUCUUGGAUCAUGGUCUGCAUUAGAAAUGCAGGGGUUCAGGGAAAUCCUAAGGUCAGAGGAGACUCUCUCUGAGACAUUAAAUUGUGGAAGUAGCUGCACCUGUUAUGAGUCUCUGCUGACUAAUCUUACUCCACCUGGAGAGGGCAGGGAUGGCCUGGGCCAGAGAAAGUGCAAUUCCAAACAAGCCCUUUAAUCUUUCUGGGUAGAAUGGCUUCUGCCAUCACAACUGUUCCUCCCUCAUCUCAAAAUACUCAUUUUUAGAUGCUUCUCAGGAUAUUUUUUGCUUCACAAGUGGGGAACCAAUGCUGCUAGCAAACUGGUAGAAAAGAGAGAUUGGGUGCUGCCUUUGGUGUAGUAAAGUCAGCCAUGGCCUGGGGAUCCAAAGGCUAAGGAAAGAGUAUGGUCCUGAGAGCCUGAUGCAUUGCAUUGGGUUUUUUGAGCAUAAGCAAGGGGACAGGUUCUGUAGCUCUUCAAGUGGGGGUUCUGCAAGGUUUGGAAAGAAGUGGCAAAGGUCACUGAGUUCACUGGACUACUACUAUAUUAAAAAUUUUGAAUUAGGACAAGCUAGAUUGUUUGGGCUUCCCAGGGGUCACAGUGGUUAAGAACUUUCCUGCCAAAGUAGAAGGCGCAAGAGAAGCAGGUCUGAUCCCUGGGCCAGGAAGAUCUCCUGGAGAAGGAAAUGAUAACUCACUCCAGCAUUCUUGCCUGGAAAAUUCCAUGGACAGAGGACCCUGGUGGGCCACAGUACCUGGAGUUGCAAAACGCUGGACAUGACUGAGUGGCUGAGCACACACACAAGCUAGAUUGUACUGUAAUAACACACAAUCUCUCCAUUUUGGUGGCUUAAAGAUGUAUUUUUCUGUCAUACAUCAUGUUCAUAAUGGAUUAACUUGGUAGUUCUCAUCAUAGUCACUCAGGGACCCAGACUGGUGAAGGUUCUAAAAUUUUGGAACUGGACAGCUCAUGUCACCAGAAGCAAAGAGCUCUCCUGGGGAGUCUCACACCAGAUGGUCAAUGCUUGGCUACAGACAGGCACACAUCACUCCCAGUCAUUCCGACUCAAGAUUCAUUGGCUAAACUAGUCAUGUCAUAACACCCUAACCAACCACAAGGAACCAGGAAUGGGAAAGAUGGAUAAAUAUUUGGUGAACAGCAUUAUUGACGAGCGCUCUGGCAUCCCUGAAGCUGAAACUCAGAUUUCCUCUUCUCUUUUUGCUUUCUUGUCUACCCCAAUUCCCCCCAGGUAGCACUUCGUCUGUGUUAGUGUCGACAGCUGGCAACAGCAAUGUGGGUCUAGAGACUGUAAUAAGCACUGUGUUCUGGAAACAUCACUCUUGUUUAGAGACUGCUAUUGUACCUAAAUGGCAUGGAUCUAGGAUUGGUUCUAUGACAUCCCUGUGUCUUAUUACCCUUUGGAACUUUGGGAAAGGGGAACAGAUGAGACUUCAAGUUGGAAUUAAUUCAACAAGGCGGGUGCGGAAAUGACUCCAUUUACAUUGCUGGAAGACAUCCCAGAGUCCUGCUGCUAGAGAAGGACCUAGGCUGCCUGGUACCAGGUACUGAAGUGCGAAAUCAAGAUCACAGCAAGCACCAGGAUGCGACACCAACGGAUUGAAGGAAGAGGAUGUACUUAAAGGGACUAUCCGAGUCUGUCAACGGCACUCACUGGCUGAACCUAACGAGGAGCCGGCAAGCAAGGGACCUCCAAUGGUGCAGUUUCCAGGGACCACCUCCCAGGGCAGAAAAGGCCCCGAGAAAGGAUUCCUGCCCACAGAAGUAGAUGUAAUGGUCAUCUGGUCAUAGCAAACACCCUCUUCCAACAACACAAGAGAAGACUCUAUACAUGGACAUCACCAGAUGGUUGACACCAAAAUCAGAUUGAUUAUAUUUUUUUUAGCCAAAGAUGGAGAAGCUCUAUACAGUUAGCAAAAACAAGACUGGGAGCUGAUUGUGGCUCAGAUCAUGAACUCCUUAUUGCCAAAUUCAGACUGAAAUUGAAGAAAGUAGGGAAAACCAUUAGACCAUUCAGGUAUGACUUAAAUCAAACCCCUUAUGAUUAUACAGUGGAAGUGAGAAAUAGAUUUAAGGGACUAGAUCUGAUAGAGUGCCUGAUGAACUAUGAACAGAGGUUUGUGACUUUAUACAGGAGACAGGGAUCAAGACCAUCCGCAUGGAAAAGAAAUGCAAAAAAGCAAAAUGGCUGUCUGAGGAGGCCUUACAAAUAGCUGUGAAAAGAAGAGAAGUGAAAAGCAAAGGAGAAAGGGAAAGAUAUGAGCAUCUGAAUGCAGAGUUCCAAAGAAUAGCAAGGAGAGAUAAGAAAGCAUUUCUCAGCAAUCAAUGCAAAGAAAUAGAGGAAAACAACAGAAUGGGAAAGACUAGCGAUCUCUUCAAUAAAAUUAGAGAUACCAAGGGAACAUUUCAUGCAAAGAUGGGCUCGACAAAGGACAGAAAUGGUAUGGACCUAAUAGAAGCAGAAGAUAUAAAGAAGAGGUGGCAAGAAUACACAGAACUGUACAAAAAAGAUCUUCAUGACCCAGAUAAUCACGAUGGUGUAAUCACUCACCUAGAGCCAGUCAUCCUGGAAUGUGAAGUCAACAGAGGAUGAGAUGGCUGGAUGGCAUCACCGACUCAAUGGACAUGAGUUUGGGUGAACUCCAGGAAUUGGUGGUGGACAGGGAGGCCUGGCAUGCUGUGAUUCAUGGGGUCGCAAACAGUUGGACACGACUGAGUGACUGAACUGAACUGAACUGAUGUGUGGACUAAUAUGUAGCUAAUUUUCAUAAAUGUUCCCUUUAUGUUUGAGUAAAUUUAUAUUUUUAAAUUUGAGGUAUAGAGUUCAAUAUAUGCUCAGUUCGCUCAGUUCAGUGGCUCAGUCGUGUGCGACUCUUUGUGACUCCAUGGACUG